Molecule: long non-coding RNA, 153 nt
Organism: Bradysia coprophila
Lineage: Eukaryota; Metazoa; Arthropoda; Insecta; Diptera; Sciaridae
Source: RefSeq, a predicted model, not a curated record
GUCCGAUUUCGUCGUAUCGACUUGUUGAACUUUUGAACUUCUACAUUUUAGAGGAUUCCAUAUUGACUGUAAUUUCCCCUUCCAAACGGAUACAUCUCGUUGGUGGUUAGAUAAUAUAAUCCCCGAGAGCUGUAUUACGAAAAUCAUUCAGAA